GCCAGGCCAUGUGCUAGGUCGUGCCAAACCUAUAGGGUAUACUGACUUAUGCCACACGGCCAAGUCACACGCCCGUGUGUGAGGCCAUGUGGAGCAUACUGACUUGAUCUCAAAUUCAACACCAGGGGACACACGACCGUGUAAUGUGAUCGUGUGUCACACACGGCUGAGACACAUGCCCGUGUCUUUACCUGUGUGGACAAAAAUAGGCUAUUUACGAAGUCAUCUUCCUACUCGUUAUGCACAUAUCUAUACAAGUUCAAUUAGUUCCAUUUCAAGACACAAAUAAGUAGCCAAAUAUUAUCAACCAAUGUUCAAAUCAUACCAUUUCAU
This 333-nucleotide long non-coding RNA is filed under the name Gossypium barbadense (sea-island cotton). Its description in RNAcentral is "long non-coding RNA (GBAR_LNC011474)". Lineage: Eukaryota; Viridiplantae; Streptophyta; Magnoliopsida; Malvales; Malvaceae. The record is from RNAcentral.